UGCGAGCGAACAGGGAAGAGCCCAGCACCGAAUCCCGCGGCCGAUAUCGGACGCCGGGAAAUGUGGUGUUAGGGAGGAUCCGUUUAUCCCGAGGUCGUGCGGUGCGUCCAAGUCCUUCUUGAACGGGGCCACAGCCCAUAGAGGGUGCCAGGCCCGUAGCGACCGCUGCCGAUCGCGGGAGGAUCUCUCCUCAGAGUCGGGUUGCUUGAGAGUGCAGCCCUAAGUGGGUGGUAAACUCCAUCUAAGGCUAAAUAUGACCACGAGACCGAUAGCGAACAAGUACCGUGAGGGAAAGUUGAAAAGCACUUUGAAGAGAGAGUUCAAGAGUACGUGAAACCGUUCAGGGGUAAACCUGAGAAGCCCGAAAGGUCGAAUGGGGAAAUUCAUUCGCGUUUCGGCCGUCGGCGUUGGAUGGUCGCGUGACGGAUGGCGUACUCGUCGUCCGCGCCUUCCGUUCUUCGAACCGGCGUCGAACGCGUGCACUUUUCCCCUAGUAGGACGUCGCGAUCCGUUGGGUGUCGGUCUACGGCUCGCGGUGGAGCCCGUGCGGUCGUUUCGGCGUAUCGCACGGACCCGCGGUGUCCCGGCCGACUCGCUCGACGGUAUACAGAUGGCGCGGGGCCGCUACACAGUUAGCGUCGGC
This 643-nucleotide ribosomal RNA is filed under the name Xylotrechus chinensis. RNAcentral's name for it is "eukaryotic LSU rRNA". It matches the Rfam family "Eukaryotic large subunit ribosomal RNA", at positions 88 to 628 of the family's 3401-position model. Lineage: Eukaryota; Metazoa; Arthropoda; Insecta; Coleoptera; Cerambycidae. The record is from RNAcentral.